This 2597-nucleotide unclassified non-coding RNA is filed under the name Camponotus floridanus (Florida carpenter ant). RNAcentral describes it as "homeobox protein engrailed, transcript variant X3". The record is from RNAcentral. Lineage: Eukaryota; Metazoa; Arthropoda; Insecta; Hymenoptera; Formicidae.
UCUACGCCCAGUAACGCCCAUCGCUGGUUCUCCCGCCGCUUCCUCGCCGCAGACGUUCCGCGGCAACCAACUGGACAAGCAGGCCCGGUCCGGUUUCACGACGUCGCACAACGACUCCGUCGAAACCCGCGUCUAUACUCCCAGCAUCGCGGAGGGCUCCACGUUUUCACUCACACGAAGAGCGCCACUGACGUUCCUCCUCUUCGUCGCGUCCGGGAUCGCGGUGAUCUUUUACGCGACUUUCGAGAACCGUUGAAUCGUCGAUCGAGGACUCUAAAGUAUGUGAGAGUGCAUCGUAUCGAGAUAAUAUAGCGAGGACUUUGAAAGGAUACGCUCCUUGCGCGGGCUCGCUCGAUUGUCGAUUAAAUACAGGGAUACCAACUGAAGAUUAUCCGUGCCACAGAUGACUAUCGAAUUCGGAUUCGAGGUACUUUGUGGUGUGAUAUUGUCAGAGAGUCGACGGGAAAAAAUAAACCGAGGAUGAAAGCGGGAUGAAAUAUGGAUAACUACUCGUAAGUAGCCUGCCAGCUGUCCGUCGGAAUGAAGAGUGAGGUUAUGGUUUAGCCGGUGACAGACGCUGAUGUAACCGUCAGAAGUGUGAUACCGCGAAAGAGAAUUUGUUAAACGGAAGAAUAAUCUUAGGAUUGUUACGUCAUGCCAUCCUACUCAUUCAUCAUGUAUGUUAAAAAGAAGUCUUGAAGAUAGUGACUAAGACAGAAAUCUGAGGAUGACGUCGUUCGUCGAUGCUAGACAGAAACUGAAUACUUCCGUAAGGAAGGAGAAGGCAUCAUGAAGACACGGCCUACGAAAGUUUCAUCGUGAUCGAACCGAGGGAACUGGGUCUGUCAAUGAGCGAGGUGGGUGUCUUCUCUCAGAAAAAAAUGUCGAGUACAUCCCCGGCGCCACCGAUGGAUCUGGACACCGGGUCGGAAUCGGAGACUAGGUCGAAUCACCUGAUCUCGCGGCUGGAUCAGGAUCCGGAGGAUGCGGAGAAACGUGAUCGGGCGCGAAGAACGGAGUGCAGCAACGCGGACAGCGACUGCGAGAGCGACACGAGCGAGGUAUUGAGCGUAGGCAGUGAACCAACGCCGACCAGCGUGGUCGGGAUGCGUGUAUGCGGGACUAUGAGGUACCACGAUCAGGAAUCCGCGAGUUCCGGUCGCGGCGAGUUCCGGGACGAGGAAAACAUGAGAACGUCGGAGACACCGUCGCCGGCCAGCUCCACCAGCUGCCACGACCUGUAUUAUCAGCGCGCAUCAAGUAAUCACGUGUCGGCACCGAGUCCGCCCGGUUACAGUCAGCCACCGUCAUCUCCUACGGCGUCUUCCGUCAGAUCCCCAGCUUCCUCUUCGGCCACCGCCUCGUCGCCCGGUCGGCCGGAGGCGAUUCAAGAGGCUAUCGUACCCAGGUACCAAUCUGGUCAUCAGCAACAUCUAUUUUCCCGAUACUCUUCCAGGGAAUCUGAGAUCUCCGAUUAUCCACCUCGGGUCCAGCACAAUAUUGGUCACGAGAUCAUUUAUCCUACCGUAGAGAGGUUGCACCGUACGCACGUAAGCGUAUCAUUGGUAACGAGACUCUCGUUGUCACCGCCGUCGGCCAUGACGGUCGCCGGACUCCAGGCGACAACACCUGGCGUUCUUCAUCCCGCCGCCUGUAGAGAUCCACGGGAGACUGCUACGUUGAUGCCGCAUCACAGCCAGCAUCUGCACCAUCCCAGUCCUCACACGCACCUACAGCAAGGCUCGCAGGUGCAGCAUGUGCCGGCGAAUCCAGUGCACCAGCAUCGACUCUCGGUUAACAAGCUCCUGCAGCGAGACCCAGGAAGCCCGGUAUCGCCAACCGGCACCAGGGAGGAGAACGGAAGAACUCCGGCUGCGAAUGGUAUCGUGCCGAAUAGUAUCGGCAACAACGGCAACCAUCAUCACAACAAUCACAACAAUAAUAACAAUCUGCAACAUCAGGCGGGCCUGAAGUUUAGCAUAGACAAUAUUUUGAAGGGGGACUUUGGCAGGAGAAUCACGGAUCCGAUCUCCCUGAAAAAGUCUCGACCUAAAAAAGUGUCGUCGAGGCCGAUCGAUUUGACGAAGGACUUCCUGGAAUCGUCCUCCGACGCGUCCGAGAGGAGCAGCUCGGAGCCGACGACGACGACGACGACGACCAACGCAUCCCCCACCGGAAUUUCGACCGAAAACACGACGUCCAAAGCGACCGGAUCUACCGGGACCGAUCCUGGGAAGAUGUUGUGGCCUGCGUGGGUCUAUUGCACCAGAUACUCGGAUCGGCCUUCCUCUGGACGAAGUAAGUAACGACCCACGGCGGUUACGAGCCGUGCUCGGGCUAAGACGAGACUAAUGACGAAAUGGCAUCGGGGAACGUGAGCUUUUCUGAAAGAAGCCAUUAUUACGCUUAUUGUGUCCGCGCACGAGAAGAGUGAAGAGGACAGACGGACGUGGCGGCGGUACUCCCGAAGAGAAACGUCCUAGGACGGCGUUUAGCGGAGAGCAGUUGGCGAGGCUGAAGAGGGAAUUCGCGGAGAACCGAUACCUGACGGAAAGACGGAGGCAGCAGCUCUCGAGGGAUCUGGGCUUGAACGAGGC